Molecule: unclassified non-coding RNA, 344 nt
Filed under: soil metagenome
Description: partial contains 5.8S ribosomal RNA, internal transcribed spacer 2, and large subunit ribosomal RNA
Rfam family: 5.8S ribosomal RNA (bases 1-120)
Source: RNAcentral
GAUGAAGAACGCAGCGAAAUGCGAUAAGUAAUGUGAAUUGCAGAAUUCCGUGAAUCAUCGAAUCUUUGAACGCACAUUGCGCCCGCCAGUAUUCUGGCGGGCAUGCCUGUUCGAGCGUCAUUUCCACCAUCAGGCCCCCGGGCCUGUGUUGGGGACCUGCGGCUGCCCGCAGGCCCCGAAAUUCAGUGGCGGUCGCGCCGUAGCAACCGAGCGUAGUAACUAAAACGUCUCGCUCUGGCUCGCUGGGCGCGCUCCGGCCGUAAAACACCCCCCCUUUUCGCAAAGGUUGACCUCGGAUCAGGUAGGAAUACCCGCUGAACUUAAGCAUAUCAAUAAGCGGAGGA